This is a long non-coding RNA of Asparagus officinalis (garden asparagus), 922 nucleotides long. RefSeq lists it as uncharacterized. The record is from RefSeq and is a predicted model, not a curated record. NCBI's taxonomy places the organism in Eukaryota, Viridiplantae, Streptophyta, Magnoliopsida, Asparagales, Asparagaceae. The transcript is spliced from 2 exons.
CCUCUCAUCAGCGACGACGGAGAGAGGCGGAAUCUUGAUGGAUCGGUUUUGAUCUCGGAUACGACAAUGAUAGUUGUUGUUCAUCCAAGGCGGCUUGACGAGGACAUUUCUCCAUUAUAUUUUUCACUGAGGGGCUGUUUGUUUCGCUCAAAAUUGAGCUGAAAGUGACGGAAAAUGCCCCUUUUGAAAACUGACGACGAAAAAUCUGUCAGUUUCCUUCAUUUACGGCUGUUCGGUUCGUUUUGAGCGGCGAAAGAAAAUGGGGCUGAAAGUGGCGAUUUGCUGAAAGUUAUUUUCCGUUCUAAAAACCCCGAUUUUGGUGGAAAAUGCUCAAAUCUCGUUUCCCCCCUCCCCUCCCCUUUCACCCUAGGUUUCUGAUCACCGCGCCGUUCCUUCCCUCCAUCUUCUCCCGCCACCUGUUCUUGAUCUUGUGGUUGAUUUGGGGGAUUUUGCCUAACGAUCGCUGUUCUUGUUCUUGCGGUUGAUUUGGGGAUUUGGCCUGACGAUUGUAGUUCUUGUUCUUGCGGUUGAUUUGAGGAUUUGGCCUGUGUUGCGGUUGAUUUGCGGUUGAUUGUGUUGCGGUUGAUUUGCGGUUGAGUUGCGGUUCUUGUUCUUGUGUUGCGGUUGAUUUGCGGUUGUUGUGCUUUCCUUGUGUUGCAGCUGCUUGUUGCUUGGGGUUUGGUUGUGUUGGCCUAUUGCAGCUCUUGUUUCUUGGCAUUUUGUUGUGCUUUCCUUGUGUUGUAGCAGCUGGUUGAUUUGGGGGUUUGGUUGUGUUGGCCUCUUGCAGCUCUUGUUUCAACCUGCUCUCGGCCUUUGUUUUGAUGCUUGGCCUUUGUUUUAAUUCAGUGCAUGGUUUCAACCUGCUCUCGGCCUUGGUUUCAGCUCUUGGUUGGCUUUUGGUUGGUAUGCAUAUUUUGUGUUA